ACCCUCUGGUUCCCUUUCCCAUGGGAUCUGAACACUGAUCUUGGUGGUUGUAAAGGAGGAAAAGUAAUACUGAAGCUGGCCUCACAGUGCUUGUAGUCUGUGGGCUAGUUUCAAACAAGG
This 120-nucleotide small nucleolar RNA is filed under the name Myotis brandtii (Brandt's bat). RNAcentral's name for it is "Small nucleolar RNA SNORA61". It matches the Rfam family "Small nucleolar RNA SNORA61". Rfam says of the family: ACA61 is a member of the H/ACA class of snoRNA that guide the sites of modification of uridines to pseudouridines. Lineage: Eukaryota; Metazoa; Chordata; Mammalia; Chiroptera; Vespertilionidae. The record is from Rfam by way of RNAcentral.